RNAcentral lists this long non-coding RNA (201 nucleotides) under Erythranthe guttata (spotted monkey flower). Its description in RNAcentral is "long non-coding RNA (EGUT_LNC002637)". Lineage: Eukaryota; Viridiplantae; Streptophyta; Magnoliopsida; Lamiales; Phrymaceae. The record is from RNAcentral.
UUGAGCUUUAAUUGCAUGUACGUGCACAGCCCAAUGUCGCGAGUUAAGAAGGGUGAUCGAGAAGUCGACUUGAAGAUCAAGUUAUUUAAUUUAUUUAUGCACGUUUUUAAUUUAGGUUUUAUUAGGUUUUUAAUAUUUUAGAGUCUUUUAUGGUUAGGAUUUGCUUAUUUACAAGUUUCCUUAUUAUAGUUUAGGUAGGAG